UCCCAGCUUCUUCUCCCACCAAUCUCAACCAAAAAUGAAAUCUUCCACAUAGAAAAGAGAAUGAUCAAAAUGUAUUCUUGGGAAAUUGACUCUAGAUCUCCCCCCUCUCUCUCCACCCUCCUGUCCCCCCUUUUUCCUCACUACCUAAACAGGCAGACAACAAAUUACACUUUUGGCAUUUCCAGUUUGGAGCCCUACAGCAAUACUCACUGAAGAAGCUGUCUCAACAAAGAGGAACAGAGCACUAAAGCUAAAUAACCCCCAUGAAGGACCAACCCUCUUCCGGCAGUCCCCAAAUGAAGAGCAAUUGUAUUCCUUUAAUUCAGUCAUAAAUCAACUCUCAAUUCUAUGAGAUUUUUCACAGAAGAACGGAGCGCCUCAAAAGUGGAUCAAGGCAGAAAUGGAUGUGGAAAUUAUCAUCCUGUACCUUUGAGGUAAAGAGGCUUCUACAGCUCUGGCAUGAGCUACCACAGGUCAUAACCAUUAGGAAAGAAACUGGAAUGUUACCAUGCCAGGCUUUGUAAGUAUUCUGUUAGUUCUCCUCUAUAUUGAUUAAAGUUCGUAAAGUCAAUACCUGGAACAGCCCAGAGGGAAAAUACUUUACCUGUUCUCUUACUUCCCAAGAUACCACAUUUAUUAUCUAAGUCGCACAGGUUAUCAGAUAAACUUGCAGGUUUUUGUUUUAUGAAGAAACAAUAAUCCCCAGGCUACUUUCCAGCAUCCUCUACUGUUACUCUACAAAAUCUUCCUUGGUGACAUCAUCCACUUCUCUGUCUUUGCUGGUUACCCGGUGCUGACAGCUGCUCCCUGCAAGGUGCAGGUGUCUCCUAACAAUCACUAACUCCGCCUGUCGAACACCGAACUCACAGCCCCGACCUCUACGCCCUGCAUCUCCUCCACCACUCCCUCGCUGAAUGGCAUCCCCACUUCUCCUAGCCGCCCCAGACACAAACCUUCGCAGUCACCUUUCAUUUCUCCCUCUCGCUCCACAGGGUGGCCCUAAGGUAACUCGUACCUCCUGAAAAUCUCAUGAGUUAGUUCCAGCAGGAGUUUCUCAUUCCAGCUCCUCAUCUCUCAUUGUAAUCCCUAAUCCAUUCCCCUACAAUGCUACCAGAGGGACCGUGCUAAAAUGUAAUUCCAGUUAUUUUAUCCCCCUAAAAACUAAAAUCUACCAAAUGGCUCCCAAUGCCAUCAGAAUAAUGCCAAGAAGCCUUAGGAGAGAAAAUGAGAUUCUUCACGAGGACCUUGCCCAUCUCUCUAGCCUGGUCCCA
Molecule: long non-coding RNA, 1271 nt
Filed under: Homo sapiens (human)
Lineage: Eukaryota; Metazoa; Chordata; Mammalia; Primates; Hominidae
Description: HSALNT0302540
Source: RNAcentral